RNAcentral lists this transfer RNA (75 nucleotides) under Sphaerodactylus townsendi. Its description in RNAcentral is "tRNA-Asp". It matches the Rfam family "tRNA". Rfam says of the family: Transfer RNA (tRNA) molecules are approximately 80 nucleotides in length. Their secondary structure includes four short double-helical elements and three loops (D, anti-codon, and T loops). Further hydrogen bonds mediate the characteristic L-shaped molecular structure. tRNAs have two regions of fundamental functional importance: the anti-codon, which is responsible for specific mRNA codon recognition, and the 3' end, to which the tRNAs corresponding amino acid is attached (by aminoacyl-tRNA synthetases). tRNAs cope with the degeneracy of the genetic code in two manners: having more than one tRNA (with a specific anti-codon) for a particular amino acid; and 'wobble' base-pairing, i.e. permitting non-standard base-pairing at the 3rd anti-codon position. Lineage: Eukaryota; Metazoa; Chordata; Lepidosauria; Squamata; Sphaerodactylidae. The record is from RNAcentral.
GGAGGGGUGGUCGCUCAGUGGUAGAGCAUUUGCUUGUCAGGCAGAAGGUCACAGGUUUGAUCCCUGGCAUCUCCC